This 102-nucleotide transfer RNA is filed under the name Promethearchaeota archaeon. RNAcentral describes it as "Candidatus Lokiarchaeota archaeon (microbial mat metagenome) tRNA-Ala". It matches the Rfam family "tRNA". From Rfam's summary of the family: Transfer RNA (tRNA) molecules are approximately 80 nucleotides in length. Their secondary structure includes four short double-helical elements and three loops (D, anti-codon, and T loops). The record is from RNAcentral. Lineage: Archaea; Promethearchaeati; Promethearchaeota.
GGGCCUGUAGAUCAGUCGCAGAUUGUUGGAUGCAGAUUCUGACCAACUUGAAACGCUUGAUUCGCAUUCAAGAGGUCACGGGUUCAAAUCCCGUCAGGUCCA